Molecule: long non-coding RNA, 184 nt
Organism: Selaginella moellendorffii
Lineage: Eukaryota; Viridiplantae; Streptophyta; Lycopodiopsida; Selaginellales; Selaginellaceae
Exons: 2
Source: RefSeq, a predicted model, not a curated record
CAGAUUGAUGUGAAUUUCUCGCCUCCCAGAUCUUCCCCCUCCCAAGAAAAGCGGGCUUAACCAGCAGCGCGGUGCCGUAAGAGAAAUUUCGUUUGCGUUGCUUUUUUUCGAUGAGUCUUCGCUGAUUUGUAAUGCAGUUUUGGCAGCAAGGAUAAUGAAUUCAACGCUUGUGUUGCCGGUAAAA